GAGGGUGUAGCUCAGUGGUAGAGUGUGUGCUUAGCACGCACCAGAUCCUGGGUUCAAUCCCUAGUACCUCCA
Molecule: transfer RNA, 72 nt
Filed under: Camelus bactrianus (Bactrian camel)
Lineage: Eukaryota; Metazoa; Chordata; Mammalia; Artiodactyla; Camelidae
Also listed under: 2 other names
Rfam family: tRNA
About the family: Transfer RNA (tRNA) molecules are approximately 80 nucleotides in length. Their secondary structure includes four short double-helical elements and three loops (D, anti-codon, and T loops). Further hydrogen bonds mediate the characteristic L-shaped molecular structure. tRNAs have two regions of fundamental functional importance: the anti-codon, which is responsible for specific mRNA codon recognition, and the 3' end, to which the tRNAs corresponding amino acid is attached (by aminoacyl-tRNA synthetases). tRNAs cope with the degeneracy of the genetic code in two manners: having more than one tRNA (with a specific anti-codon) for a particular amino acid; and 'wobble' base-pairing, i.e. permitting non-standard base-pairing at the 3rd anti-codon position.
Source: Rfam by way of RNAcentral